Molecule: unclassified non-coding RNA, 358 nt
Filed under: soil metagenome
Description: partial contains 5.8S ribosomal RNA, internal transcribed spacer 2, and large subunit ribosomal RNA
Rfam family: 5.8S ribosomal RNA (bases 1-120)
Source: RNAcentral
GAUGAAGAACGUAGCGAAAUGCGAUAAGUAAUGUGAAUUGCAGAAUUCAGUGAAUCAUCGAAUCUUUGAACGCACAUUGCGCCCGUCAGUAUUCUGGCGGGCAUGCCUGUUCGAGCGUCAUUACGCCCCUCAAGUCCCCUGUGGACUUGGUGUUGGGGAUCGGCGAGGCUGGUUUUCCAGCACAGCCGUCCCUUAAAUUAAUUGGCGGUCUCGCCGUGGCCCUCCUCUGCGCAGUAGUAAAACACUCGCAACAGGAGCCCGGCGCGGUCCACUGCCGUAAAACCCCCUAACUUUUUAUAGUUGACCUCGAAUCAGGUAGGACUACCCGCUGAACUUAAGCAUAUCAAUAAGCGGAGGA